AUACGAAGGGGGCUAGCGUUGUUCGGAAUUACUGGGCGUAAAGCGCGCGUAGGCGGACUGAUCAGUUGGGGGUGAAAUCCCAGGGCUUAACCCUGGAACUGCCUCCAAUACUGUCAGUCUUGAGUUCGGGAGAGGUGAGUGGAAUUCCUAGUGUAGAGGUGAAAUUCGUAGAUAUUAGGAAGAACACCAGUGGCGAAGGCGGCUCACUGGCCCGAUACUGACGCUGAGGCGCGAAGGCGCGGGGAGCAAACAGGAUUAGAAACCCUAGUAGUCC
This 274-nucleotide ribosomal RNA is filed under the name uncultured bacterium. RNAcentral describes it as "partial 16S ribosomal RNA". It matches the Rfam family "Bacterial small subunit ribosomal RNA", at positions 523 to 796 of the family's 1533-position model. The record is from RNAcentral.